CUCCCGGUAGCUCAGCGGACAGAGUGCUUGACUACGAAUCAAGAAGCCGGAGGUUCGAUUCCUCCUCGGGAGAC
This 74-nucleotide transfer RNA is filed under the name Mycobacterium phage Phabba. RNAcentral describes it as "tRNA-Arg". It matches the Rfam family "tRNA". Rfam says of the family: Transfer RNA (tRNA) molecules are approximately 80 nucleotides in length. Lineage: Duplodnaviria; Heunggongvirae; Uroviricota; Caudoviricetes. The record is from RNAcentral.